UUCAGGGUCCCAGCAUUUUUGCGUUUCGAGAUACCACUUGCCGCCUACAAAAACUCCAAGGAACGAUAAACACUCCUGUCUACCGUUAUAAAAAGGUAUGCAAAGGGAAUCUCUUCAAGGAAAACCCAAUUGGUGGACUAUACGAAUAUCCUUUUCCUUUUAACAUA
This is a long non-coding RNA of Anoplophora glabripennis (Asian longhorned beetle), 167 nucleotides long. RefSeq lists it as uncharacterized. Lineage: Eukaryota; Metazoa; Arthropoda; Insecta; Coleoptera; Cerambycidae. The record is from RefSeq and is a predicted model, not a curated record. The transcript has 2 exons.